ACACUACAAGGCUGUUUACCAAGCCUGCUGGAGCCUCUGAAGGGCAGCAGCCAGCUCACCCCCCAUGCCCUGGAUGGCAACAAGGCACAGGAGACCGCAGAGCAUACAAACAGGGCAAGAGGAAACCAUCUAUCAAUGACCAGGGACCAGAGGAAGCAAAGUUCUAACAUCUCGCUCACGUUCUCCCAAGGCCCAGAGAUGAUACCAGGCAAAGUAAAACCUGGGUUGUGGUGACAGCAGCACUCGUGUCUGACGUCUGAUGCAGACCCUUCCAUGAAGGCAGGUCACUGACUUGCUCUCACCCUCAGCCCCUCUGCAUAUAAUUCUCAGUUUCUCCAGAAAGCAUUUUACCUGUGCUUCAGAGGGACUAUUUAACAAAGACAUUUGCCAUUUUCCACUCCUUCUUUAGCCUCCCUAGGAGAUGCCCGGUGGCUGACACCCAGAGGAAGCACAGCCUCCCCUCUGAAGCUUCCUCUACUGCAGUCUCUGUGCUCAUCGCAAGGAUCUCUCCAUAUUGACUUAUAUUUGUUUCUGGUCUUAUAUUUUUCUCUAUGGACAGACUUCUAUUUUCAGAAGAUAGAUAUUUAAGUCACAAUAUUCUGGACUCUGGCUUAGUUAGACCAACCGUCUCUUGAUCGUCUGUGGAAACUGAAUCAGGAACACCCCAGAGAGCUGGCUCUGGAUGUAAUUCACAGCUUCAUUUAAUUAUUAUCAUCAAAGUUAAUGAAGGCCAUAAACUGUUUCAUAACAUACCAAUGGGAAGUGUGAUUGGAGGGAAAGCUGGACACCUCACCAUAAAACUGGCACAGCAGAAACGGCUCGACUUAACAAAACCUUCUUAUGAAGAAAAAGACAAUGAAACCAUGUUCAGUUUAGUGAACCUUUCACACUUGGCAACAUGAAUGUUAAGUCAAAAGAACAAUGGAGCUAUGAGUUUUUUUAAUCAAAUUUUUAUUUUGGGUCAAAUAAGCCAUUUUGUUUGUUUGUUAUUAAGUGUAAAGAGAGCUUUCGGUUAGCUAUUUAGUUAUAACUUUAUCUCACCCACUUCUAAAAAAGCGUUGAGGCUACUUGAAGUAAAGUCCUGUAGACGAGAGAGCGUAACACUAAAAGAUAGAAAGAAAACUUAGAAGAUGGAAGAGAAAUAAUUGCACUAGAAACCUGGCCAAUAUCAUGAACAGGCUCCAUAUAGGGACUCCUGUAUAUAGAUCGCUGUGUGUGUGGAUAGUACGUUCAAUAAAUGUAUUAUCUGAACUGCUUUUAAAGUUCUACUCUUGGAUUCCUGAAAUACUAUCUCUAUGGAUUUGCCUAUUCUGGAUGCUUCAUAUAGAUGGAAUCAUUCAUUACGCAACCCUUUGUAUCUGGCUUCUUUCAUUUAGCAUGAGGCUUUCCAGGUUCAUCCAUAUCAUAAGAAGUAUCAGUAUUUUACUCCACUUUAAAGUUCUGUAAUAGUUACUAUCUAUCUAUUUGGUAUACAUACAUGUAUAUAUUAAUUUUGCUUAUCCAUUUAUUCAUUUAUGAACAUUUGGAUUGUUUCUACCUCUUGGAAUUGUAAAUCAUGCUGUUAUGAACAUGGAUGUACACAUA
This is a long non-coding RNA of Homo sapiens (human), 1584 nucleotides long. Ensembl annotates it as long intergenic non-protein coding RNA 2251. NCBI's taxonomy places the organism in Eukaryota, Metazoa, Chordata, Mammalia, Primates, Hominidae. The record is from Ensembl.